UGGGGAAUAUUGCACAAUGGAGGGAACUCUGAUGCAGCGACGCCGCGUGAACGAAGAAGGCUUUCGAGUCGUAAAGUUCUUUUAUAUGGGAAGAUAAUUACGGUACCAUAAGAAAAAGCUCCGGCUAACUACGUGCCAGCAGCCGCGGUAAUACGUAGGGGGCUAGCGUUGUCCGGAAUCACUGGGCGUAAAGGGUUCGCAGGCGGAAAUGCAAGUCAGGUGUAAAAGGCAGUAGCUUAACUACUGUAAGCAUUUGAAACUGCAUAUCUUGAGAAGAGUAGAGGUAAGUGGAAUUUUUAGUGUAGCGGUGAAAUGCGUAGAUAUUAAAAAGAAUAACGGUGGCGAAGGCGACUUACUGGGCUCAUUCUGACGCUGAGGAACGAAAGCGUGGGUAGCAAACAGG
RNAcentral lists this ribosomal RNA (403 nucleotides) under Fusobacteriota bacterium. RNAcentral describes it as "Fusobacteria bacterium partial 16S ribosomal RNA". It matches the Rfam family "Bacterial small subunit ribosomal RNA", at positions 355 to 776 of the family's 1533-position model. Lineage: Bacteria; Fusobacteriati; Fusobacteriota. The record is from RNAcentral.